Molecule: ribosomal RNA, 253 nt
Filed under: uncultured bacterium
Lineage: Bacteria
Description: partial 16S ribosomal RNA
Rfam family: Bacterial small subunit ribosomal RNA
Source: RNAcentral
UACGAAGGGGACUAGCGUUGUUCGGAAUUACUGGGCGUAAAGCGCUCGUAGGCGGCUUUGUAAGUCAGUGGUGAAAUCCCGGGGCUCAACCUCGGAACUGCCUUUGAUACUGCAAAUCUCGAGUCCGAUAGAGGUGGGUGGAAUUCCUAGUGUAGAGGUGAAAUUCGUAGAUAUUAGGAAGAACACCGGUGGCGAAGGCGGCCCACUGGAUCGGUACUGACGCUGAGGUGCGAAAGCGUGGGGAGCAAACAGG